This 254-nucleotide ribosomal RNA is filed under the name uncultured bacterium. RNAcentral describes it as "partial 16S ribosomal RNA". It matches the Rfam family "Bacterial small subunit ribosomal RNA", at positions 524 to 776 of the family's 1533-position model. The record is from RNAcentral.
UACGUAGGGGGCGAGCGUUGUCCGGAUUUAUUGGGCGUAAAGAGCUCGUAGGCGGUGUGUCGCGUCGGCCGUGAAAACCUGCAGCUUAACUGUGGGCUUGCGGUCGAUACGGGCAUCACUGGAGUUCGGCAGGGGAGACUGGAAUUCCUGGUGUAGCGGUGAAAUGCGCAGAUAUCAGGAGGAACACCGGUGGCGAAGGCGGGUCUCUGGGCCGAUACUGACGCUGAGGCGCGAAAGCGUGGGGAGCAAACAGG